GGGCAUGUGGUGUAGUUGGUUAUCACGCUCGCUUAGCAUAGUCCAUCGAGCAAAACCCGGUUGCAUGCGAGAGGGGUCCGGUUCAAUCCCGGACAUGUUCA
RNAcentral lists this transfer RNA (101 nucleotides) under Trametes sanguinea. Its description in RNAcentral is "tRNA-Ala". The record is from RNAcentral. Lineage: Eukaryota; Fungi; Basidiomycota; Agaricomycetes; Polyporales; Polyporaceae.